AUCCGUGCCAAGUUCACGUACCUUUGCAGUUAACUCCAUAUAAAAAGGUAAAGUUGCACGUGUACUAAAAAGCCAGUUCAAACUCUUCAUGAAUAUAUAUUGAUAUGUAAUAAAAUAAAAAGGAUAAUAAAUUUUAUAGUACAUGACCACACCUAACUUGCAGUUAUGAGAGUAUACGCUGUAGUCUCAAAAUAUAUACCCGGCCUUGAUCAUCAAGGACGUAUCAGCAACUAUCACUCUUCUAGUAAAAAAAUAACCUCGCAACUGCUUUCUUUUCCACUAAACAAAACCAUCGGGUCCCUCGAUAAAAAUAAAAUCACACGAGCUUCUAUAUCUUGCACCAGGACGUAUCAGCAACUAUCACUCUUCUAGUAAAAAAAUAACCUCGCAACUGCCUUCUUUUCCACUAAACAAAACCAUCGGGUCCCUCGAUAAAAAUAAACAUGAAGUAUACGUGGGAUGGUGGAGCGAUGAGUAUACAUAGUUCCCCUCACUUGUUUUGCAUAUAUACUUCAAAUGAAACAAUGUUCUGACUACAUGGCAUGGCAUGGC
RNAcentral lists this long non-coding RNA (552 nucleotides) under Brachypodium distachyon (stiff brome). Its description in RNAcentral is "long non-coding RNA (BDIS_LNC001133)". Lineage: Eukaryota; Viridiplantae; Streptophyta; Magnoliopsida; Poales; Poaceae. The record is from RNAcentral.